Non-coding RNA from Podarcis lilfordi (Lilford's wall lizard), 76 nucleotides. The record is from the annotation of a GenBank genome assembly. NCBI's taxonomy places the organism in Eukaryota, Metazoa, Chordata, Lepidosauria, Squamata, Lacertidae.
AGCUUCAGUUAGCUCAGUUGGUUAGAGUGUGGCGCUCAUAAUGCCAAGGUCGUGAGUUCAAUCCCUACAUGGGCCA